CGCGAAUGGCCAUUACAACAGCUAUAAUUUACUGGAUUUUGAUUGUUAUAUGGAUAACUGCGGUAAUUCUGGAGCCAAUACAUGCGUCAAGCAUCAGCCUUUGGUUGUUGUGCAUUUAUUGGAGCAAAACCAGUCUUUGACGGUUGCUAACUCUGGAUAAUUAUGCAUAUCGCACGGUCUUGUACCGGCGAAUUUUCUUUCAAGUAUCUGCUUUAUCAACUAUCGUUGGUGGUUUAUUGGACUACCAUGGUUGUGACGGGUAACGGAGAAUUAGGGUUUGACUCCGGAGAGGGAGCCUUAGAAACGGCUACCAUGUCUAAGGAUAGCAGCAGGCGCGAAAAUUACCCAAUGCCGAAACGGUGAGGUAGUGACGAGAAAUAACGAGACCGUUCUCUUUGAGGUCGGUCAUUGGAAUGAGUACAAUUCAGACAUUUUAACGAGUAUCUACGAGAGGGCAAGUCUGGUGCCAGCAGCCGCGGUAAUUCCAGCUCUCGUAAGGUAUAGAAUUAUUGUUGCGAUUAAAAAGUUCGUAGUUGGAUUGUUGAACUAGCUCGGGUCCACCCUCGUGGUGCGUACUCGUUGCUUGUAUUUUGUUCGUUUUUGUGGCGUUGGCUUCGGUUAGCGUCAUGAUGCGAGCAGGAUUACUUUGAACGGCUUAAGUGCUUUAAGCGAGUCUUAUGACUGAAUACCGGUGCAUGGAAUAAUGGAAUAAGGUUUCGAUCGAGUUUUAUUGGUUUUGUCGGUUGAAACAAUGGUUAACAGAAACAGCCGGGGGCAUUCGUAUCGCUGCGCGAGAGGUGAAAUUCGUGGACCGUAGCGAGACGUCCGAAAGCGAAGGCAUUUGCCAAGAGUGUUUUCAUUAAUCAAGAACGAAAGUCAGAGGUUCGAAGGCGAUCAGAUACCGCCC
Molecule: ribosomal RNA, 907 nt
Filed under: Potensaphelenchus stammeri
Lineage: Eukaryota; Metazoa; Nematoda; Chromadorea; Rhabditida; Aphelenchoididae
Description: SSU rRNA
Rfam family: Eukaryotic small subunit ribosomal RNA
Source: RNAcentral